RNAcentral lists this ribosomal RNA (291 nucleotides) under uncultured bacterium. RNAcentral describes it as "partial 16S ribosomal RNA". It matches the Rfam family "Bacterial small subunit ribosomal RNA", at positions 335 to 607 of the family's 1533-position model. The record is from RNAcentral.
ACUCCUACGGGAGGCAGCAGUGGGGAAUAUUGCACAAUGGGGAAGCCCAUCGAUGCAGCCAUGCCGCGCUGUGUGAAGAAGGCCAAUUCGGGGCUUUGGUUAAAGACACUUUUCAGUAGGGAGGAAGGUAGUGUAGUUAACACCUGCAUUAUUUGACGUUACCUACAGAAGAAGCACCGGCUAACUCCGUGCCAGCAGCCGCGGUAAUACGGAGGGUGCGAGCGUUAAUCGGAAUUACUGGGCGUAAAGCGCAUGCAGGCGGCCUGUUAAGUCAGAUGUGAAAGCCCGGGC